RNAcentral lists this ribosomal RNA (400 nucleotides) under uncultured eukaryote. RNAcentral's name for it is "SSU rRNA". It matches the Rfam family "Eukaryotic small subunit ribosomal RNA", at positions 587 to 986 of the family's 1831-position model. The record is from RNAcentral.
AGCUCCAAUAGCGUAUAUUAAAGUUGUUGCAGUUAAAAGCUCGUAGUUGGAUUUCUGGUCUGAUGCCCUGGCCCGCGCCUUAUAGGUGUGUGUGCCGGCUGUGCGUCUGCCAUCCUUCUAGUAACCCUUCCUACCCUUCACUGGGCCGGGUUGGUGAUCUAGAUCUUUUACUUUGAAAAAUUAGAGUGUUUAAAGCAGGCUUUUGCUAUGAAUACAUUAGCAUGGAAUAAUAAUCUAGGACUUCGGUUCUAUUUUGUUGGUUUCUAGUACUGAAGUAAUGAUUGAUAGGGAUAGUUGGGGGUGCUAGUAUUGAGCGGCCAGAGGUGAAAUUCUUGGAUUCGCUCAAGACUAACUUAUGCGAAAGCAUUCACCAAGGAUGUCUUCUUUAAUCAAAGAACGA